Molecule: long non-coding RNA, 753 nt
Organism: Arabidopsis thaliana (thale cress)
Lineage: Eukaryota; Viridiplantae; Streptophyta; Magnoliopsida; Brassicales; Brassicaceae
Product: other RNA
Exons: 1
Source: RefSeq
UAGAUCCCAAUAGGAUUCCGCAGUUAAGUAUGUUAAUCAUCACUUUCACGAUUCCUUCUUCCGCUAGAUUCUGUCUUACUUCAGGCACAGCGGAAAUGUUCUUCAAAGUACAAGCAGAAGCGGAUUGAGAAACAGAGUCCCCUGUUUUGCAAAUCUCGAUCAACGGACCAACCCCGCCGUGACCAACAAUUGAACGCGAUGUCUCUGAUGAAAUAGACAUUCUCUGCAACGAAAUAACCGCUUUCUCCUUAGCAACAAUACUUCCUGAUUCUAGUAGCCUUAUCAAUGAAGGCAAUGCGUUCUCAGAGAUAAGCCAGUUUUCGCAUCCGCCUGAUUCCGCUAGAGAGCAGAUCACAGUCACCGCGUUUUCCCUUACGCUAGGCGAGGUAGCCGUCAAAAGCUGCACCAAAGACGCGACGUUGGUACGGCCUAGAGCGGUUAUAACCGCCUUUUCGUCUUCUUUCAUUACCUCGACGAGCUGCUCAAGCGCUUUGCGUUUAGACUCCAAGUGACCUAUCUGAAGCCGAGCAAGCAAUUCUCUAACGCUGAACGUUUCCAAGUCUUGAGUCGAAGAAGAUAAAGGUUUCGUAACUUCUCCAAGAACACCUGUUUUCAUUAGCAAUCCACAAUCUUUCAAGCUAAGAUCAAUCUUCGCAGAUAGAGAAUCUAGAUCACUCUGCAUCUUCAAUUUCCCCUCUUGCUUCUCACUUACGCAAACAUUCGCGAGCUCGAUGGUUUCUUUCAAAGUUUCUA